RNAcentral lists this ribosomal RNA (1410 nucleotides) under uncultured fungus. Its description in RNAcentral is "eukaryotic LSU rRNA". The stretch from base 665 to 1410 matches the Rfam family "Eukaryotic large subunit ribosomal RNA", at positions 1 to 763 of the family's 3401-position model. The record is from RNAcentral. Lineage: Eukaryota; Fungi.
GGAAGGAUCAUUAACCAGUCCGGAUAACGGAAAAAGGCACGCGGGGGGAGAUCCGUCGCCAGCGGCUGCGACUCCCGCUGCCCUGUCCCGCCCACCCUCUCCGUGUACCUCUCCAUGUUGCUUUCCCGGGACGGUUGGCCCAGCCUGCCCGGUGGUGGGCUCCUCGUUUCCCCGUCUGUUGGGGCGCUGAGGUGCCCGCGGCCGAGUUUCCCGGGGAAGGUACCCUUCACAAAUCCCCUGCAGCAACCUGUCUGACACAGGCCCAUGGCCAUUGCUACAUAAUUACAUAAAACUUUCAACAACGGAUCUCUUGGUUCUCGCAUCGAUGAAGAACGCAGCGAAAUGCGAUAAGUAAUGUGAAUUGCAGAAUUCCGUGAAUCAUCGAAUCUUUGAACGCACAUUGCGCCCUCUGGCAUUCCUCAGGGCAUGCCUGUUCGAGCGUCACAGAAAGCCCCCCCUCACACACAAGCUGUGGUGAUGUCGUUGGUGAGCCUCAACCGGCUCCACCACGUCCAAAUCCAUGGGCGGACAACUGAUCUCAGCAGCUGACUUAGUAAGAUAGAGUUCAUCUGCAGUACUUGCUGUCAGAAGGAACAUCAGUCAGGAGCUAGGUUACGUCCCGUCCCCGCCUCAUUGGAACCCCCCCAUGAAAUUAUCUUUGGGUUGACCUCGGAUCAGGUAGGGAUACCCGCUGAACUUAAGCAUAUCAAUAAGCGGAGGAAAAGAAACCAACAGGGAUUGCCUCAGUAACGGCGAGUGAAGCGGCAAAAGCUCAAAUUUGAAAUCUGGCGCCUGCGGUGUCCGAGUUGUAAUUUGGAGAGGCGUCUUCUGGUGGGACCCAGCCUAUCUUCCUUGGAACAGGAGGUCACAGAGGGUGAGAAUCCCGUUCUCGGCUGGAUGCUCCCACCUGUAUGUAGUGCCUUCAACGAGUCGAGUUGUUUGGGAAUGCAGCUCAAAAUGGGUGGUAAAUUUCAUCUAAAGCUAAAUACUGGCGAGAGACCGAUAGCGCACAAGUAGAGUGAUCGAAAGAUGAAAAGCACUUUGAAAAUAGAGUCAAAAAGUACGUGAAAUUGUUGAAAGGGAAGCGCUGGAGACCAGACUCGGCCAAGGACAAACAGCCCUCCUUCUGGUGGGUGCACUUGCCCUCGGCUGGGCCAGCAUCAGUUGGGGUGACGGGACAAAGGCCUGUGGAAUGUGGCUCCCCUCGGGGAGUGUUAUAGCCAUGGGUGCAAUGCCGCCUACCCCGACUGAGGACCGCGCUUCUGCUAGGAUGCUGGCGUAAUGGUCUUCAGCGACCCGUCUUGAAACACGGACCAAGGAGUCUAACAUCUAUGCAAGUGUUUGGGCUUCAGACCCUCACGCGUAAUGAAAGUGAACGGAGGUGGGAACCUCGCGAGGGGUGCACCAUCG